AUCUCUGUAGAGUCUGCAUAUCAAUAAGCGGAGGAAAAGAAACUAACUAGGAUUCCCUCAGUAACGGCGAGUGAAGCGGGAAGAGCUCAAAUUUGAAAUCUUCAAGGUUCUACCUUGACGAAUUGUAGUUUAAAGAAGUGUUUUCUGUUGGAGUUUUGGUAAAAGUUCCUUGGAAUAGGGACAUCAUAGAGGGUGAGAAUCCCGUAUUUGACAUUAUUUCUAGCUUUGUGAUACACUUUCAAAGAGUCGGAUUGUUUGGGAAUGCAGUCCAAAAUGGGUGGUAAAUUUCAUCUAAAGCUAAAUACUGGCGAGAGACCGAUAGCGAACAAGUACCGUGAGGGAAAGACGAAAAGAACUUUGAAAAGAGAGUUAAACAGUACGUGAAAUUGUCAAAAGGGAAGCGUUUGACACCAGUGUUGUCUUCUCGAAAAUCAAUUAAGAAUGGCAUGAUUUUGUGUUGUAUUGACCUUAUCAGCUUUCUUCACUCUUUUCGAUGUCUUUUUUAAUGCACUUUUCGGUUAACAAGUCAACAUCAAUUUCUUUUGUUGUAAAAGAGUCAUUCGGAAGGUGGCUUUCUUUUCGGAGAAAGCGUUUAUAGCCUUAUGCCUCUACAAUCGGAGAGAUUGAGGUCUGCAGCGUAGAUCCUUCGGGGUUAGAUACAUUUGUGCUAAGUUAUAGCCUUUCAUAGACAACUUGUUGACUAUGAUCAGUCAUGUAGCUUACUCGCUUAUGCUAUUUUACCUACGCUUAGGAUGUUGAAGAUGUAGCACAUCAU
Molecule: ribosomal RNA, 775 nt
Filed under: uncultured Neocallimastigales
Lineage: Eukaryota; Fungi; Neocallimastigomycota; Neocallimastigomycetes; Neocallimastigales
Description: partial large subunit ribosomal RNA
Rfam family: Eukaryotic large subunit ribosomal RNA
Source: RNAcentral